This 491-nucleotide ribosomal RNA is filed under the name Klebsiella pneumoniae subsp. pneumoniae. RNAcentral's name for it is "partial 23S ribosomal RNA". It matches the Rfam family "Bacterial large subunit ribosomal RNA", at positions 781 to 1269 of the family's 2925-position model. Lineage: Bacteria; Pseudomonadati; Pseudomonadota; Gammaproteobacteria; Enterobacterales; Enterobacteriaceae. The record is from RNAcentral.
GACUAAUGUUGAAAAAUUAGCGGAUGACUUGUGGCUGGGGGUGAAAGGCCAAUCAAACCGGGAGAUAGCUGGUUCUCCCCGAAAGCUAUUUAGGUAGCGCCUCGUGAAUUCAUCUUCGGGGGUAGAGCACUGUUUCGGCUAGGGGGUCAUCCCGACUUACCAACCCGAUGCAAACUACGAAUACCGAAGAAUGUUAUCACGGGAGACACACGGCGGGUGCUAACGUCCGUCGUGAAGAGGGAAACAACCCAGACCGCCAGCUAAGGUCCCAAAGUCAUGGUUAAGUGGGAAACGAUGUGGGAAGGCACAGACAGCCAGGAUGUUGGCUUAGAAGCAGCCAUCAUUUAAAGAAAGCGUAAUAGCUCACUGGUCGAGUCGGCCUGCGCGGAAGAUGUAACGGGGCUAAACCAUGCACCGAAGCUGCGGCAGCGACACUAUGUGUUGUUGGGUAGGGGAGCGUUCUGUAAGCCUGCGAAGGUGACCUGUGAGGG